RNAcentral lists this ribosomal RNA (407 nucleotides) under uncultured bacterium. Its description in RNAcentral is "partial 16S ribosomal RNA". It matches the Rfam family "Bacterial small subunit ribosomal RNA", at positions 30 to 526 of the family's 1533-position model. The record is from RNAcentral.
AUUGAACGCUGGCGGCAGGCCUAACACAUGCAAGUCGAGCGGAGUGUCGGCCGGGUGAGUACUGCCUAGGCAUCUGCCUGGUGGUGGGGGAUAGCGUCCGGAAACGGGCGCUAAUACCGCAUACUAUCAGAUGAGCCUAGAUCGGUUUAGCUAGUUGGUGGGGUAAAGGCCUUACAGGGCUACGAUCCGUAACUGGUCCGAGAGGAUGAUCAGUCACACUGGAACUGAGACACGGUCCAGACUCCUACGGGAGGACGCAGUGGGGAAUAUUGGACAAGGGGCGAAAGCUUGAUGCAGCCAUGCCGGUGGUGUGAAAAAGGUCUGCGGAUUGUAAAGCACUUUAAGUUGGGAGGCGUUACCAGCAGAAUAAGCACCGGCUAACUUCGUGCCAGCAGCCGCGGUAAUUC